UGCGGUUUCUAAGCUUUAUAGGCCUACUUGUUAUGUUCAGUUUGAUCUUAUUUCAGAUGAAUUGAUUUGUUUGUUUGUUUUAUUCGGGGAGAGGGGAGGUGUUUGGGAUUCCCUGUAAUAAUCCUAGCGAUUAAAUAAUGCUGUCUUCUAGUACUUACUAUUCAGUUCGAGUAUUAUUUUUUUUUUAACGUAGGUCAUUCUCAAUUCUUUGCAACUUUCACUUUAUGCCGACACCAUCUCAUGAGGGCUGCUGGGCCAACGAAAGUUGACGUUCCGGGGUGAUGGUUCUCUCACUGGCUGUCAUUAAAAAAAAACCUGGAUUCCCGUCAAGGUGGUUUCAAUCAUCAAGUGCCAACGCCCAUUCAUAUCAAAAGUCACCAAGACAUUGAAGCGAAGAAUCAAUAGCUUUUCCAGGCAAACGUCAUGUUGAUUUAGCUGUUUUGGUGCCCUUUUAUGUUUAUCUGGUACUCAUUAAUCAUCGUUUCUUCUCUCUCGAACAGAGUUGUCCCAGCCGUGAAUGUCAGCACGCAAACAGUGGUUCACCUUGCUGUUGGUGGGGGUGUUCAUGUAAGCUGUCUUCAUCAUACAAGGUAGGAUUUAUUUUAGUUUUGAUUUGUGCUUAAAGCUUUUGGCUGUUAUCAUCAACAUUCUCCAUUUUCCAUUCUCGCAUUGCAUUCCUGUUCUCGGCUUCAAACAUUUCUCUAUUCAGUAAGGAGUAAGGAAAAUGCAGAUCGAAUC
Daphnia pulicaria is the source of this 738-nucleotide long non-coding RNA. RefSeq lists it as uncharacterized. The record is from RefSeq and is a predicted model, not a curated record. The transcript has 3 exons. Lineage: Eukaryota; Metazoa; Arthropoda; Branchiopoda; Diplostraca; Daphniidae.